CAGGCUUAACACAUGCAAGUCGAGGGGCAGCAUGGUCUUAGCUUGCUAAGGCCGAUGGCGACCGGCGCACGGGUGAGUAACGCGUAUCCAACCUGCCUUACACUCUUGGACAGCCUUCUGAAAGGGAGAUUAAUACAAGAUGUUAUCAUGAGUAAGCAUUUUCGCAUGAUUAAAGGUUUACCGGUGUAAGAUGGGGAUGCGUUCCAUUAGAUAGUAGGCGGGGUAACGGCCCACCUAGUCUUCGAUGGAUAGGGGUUCUGAGAGGAAGGUCCCCCACAUUGGAACUGAGACACGGUCCAAACUCCUACGGGAGGCAGCAGUGAGGAAUAUUGGUCAAUGGACGAGAGUCUGAACCAGCCAAGUAGCGUGAAGGAUGAAGGUUCUAUGGAUUGUAAACUUCUUUUAUACGGGAAUAAACGAAUCCACGCGUGGAUUUUUGCAUGUACCGUAUGAAUAAGGAUCGGCUAACUCCGUGCCAGCAGCCGCGGUAAUACGGAGGAUCCGAGCGUUAUCCGGAUUUAUUGGGUUUAAAGGGAGCGUAGAUGGGUUGUUAAGUCAGUUGUGAAAGUUCGCGGCUCAACCGUAAAAUUGCAAUUGAUACUGGCAGUCUUGAGUACAGUUGAGGUAGGCGGAAUUCGUGGUGUAGCGGUGAAAUGCUUAGAUAUCACGAAGAACUCCGAUUGCGAAGGCAGCUUACUAACCUGUAACUGACAUUGAUGCUCAAAAGUGUGGGUAUCAAACAGGAUUAGAUACCCUGGUAGUCCACACGGUAAACGAUGAAUACUCGCUGUAGGCGAUAUACAGUCUGCGGCCAAGCGAAAGCAUUAAGUAUUCCACCUGGGGAGUACGCCGGCAACGGUGAAACUCAAAGGAAUUGACGGGGGCCCGCACAAGCGGAGGAACAUGUGGUUUAAUUCGAUGAUACGCGAGGAACCUUACCCGGGCUUAAAUUGCAACCGAAUAUGGCGGAAACGCUAUAGCUAGCAAUAGCGGUUGUGAAGGUGCUGCAUGGUUGUCGUCAGCUCGUGCCGUGAGGUGUCGGCUUAAGUGCCAUAACGAGCGCAACCCUUGCCGAUAGUUACUAACAGGUCAUGCUGAGGACUCUGUCGGGACUGCCAUCGUAAGAUGUGAGGAAGGUGGGGAUGACGUCAAAUCAGCACGGCCCUUACGUCCGGGGCUACACACGUGUUACAAUGGGGGGUACAGAGGGCUGCUACCACGCAAGUGGAUGCCAAUCCCAAAAACCUCUCUCAGUUCGGAUUGAAGUCUGCAACCCGACUUCAUGAAGCUGGAUUCGCUAGUAAUCGCGCAUCAGCCACGGCGCGGUGAAUACGUUCCCGGGCCUUGUACACACCGCCCGUCAAGCCAUGGGAGCCGGGGGUACCUGAAGUGCGUAACCGCAAGGAGCGCCCUAGGGUAAAACUGGUGACUGG
RNAcentral lists this ribosomal RNA (1433 nucleotides) under uncultured organism. RNAcentral describes it as "16S ribosomal RNA". It matches the Rfam family "Bacterial small subunit ribosomal RNA". The record is from RNAcentral.